AUUGAACGCUGGCGGCAGGCUUAACACAUGCAAGUCGAGCGGGGGAAGGUAGCUUGCUACCGGACCUAGCGGCGGACGGGUGAGUAAUGCUUAGGAAUCUGCCUAUUAGUGGGGGACAACAUCUCGAAAGGGAUGCUAAUACCGCAUACGUCCUACGGGAGAAAGCAGGGGAUCUUCGGACCUUGAGCUAAUAGAUGAGCCUAAGUCGGAUUAGCUAGUUGGUGGGGUAAAGGCCUACCAAGGCGACGAUCUGUAGCGGGUCUGAGAGGAUGAUCCGCCACACGGGGACUGAGACACGGCCCAGACGCCUACGGGAGGCAGCAGUGGGGAAUAUUGGACAAUGGGGGGAACCCUGAUCCAGCCAUGCCGCGUGUGUGAAGAAGGCCUUAUGGUUGUAAAGCACUUUAAGCGAGGAGGAGGCUACUCUAGUUAAUACCUAGGGAUAGUGGACGUUACUCGCAGAAUAAGCACCGGCUAACUCUGUGCCAGCCGCCGCCGUAA
This 501-nucleotide ribosomal RNA is filed under the name uncultured bacterium. Its description in RNAcentral is "partial 16S ribosomal RNA". It matches the Rfam family "Bacterial small subunit ribosomal RNA", at positions 30 to 523 of the family's 1533-position model. The record is from RNAcentral.